CAUUCUUGGGUUAGGGUUUAUUCUAUGAUUAGGGUUGCCCAAAGGUCUUUCUAUGGUUAGGGCUCGGAUUAGGCUUGGGUUAGAUCCCUUUGUCUUGCGCCAAGGUCUCUCUAUGAUUAGGGUUGGCCUCGGGUUAGGCUUGGGUUUAGAUCCCCUUGUCUUGCGCCAAGGUCUUUCUAUGGUUAGGCCUCGGGUUAGGGUCCCCUUUGUCUCACAGCACCAACUGUGUAGUGUAUAAUCUUGACCGAGUGAGAGUUGGUGCUCUACACAAGGUCUUAAAAAGUUGUUUACAACUUUCAGCAAUGGAUCUCUUGGUUCUCGCAUCGAUGAAGAACGCAGUGAAAUGCGAUAACUGGUGUGAAUUGCAUCCUAGCAACUCUAAUUUACGGAUAACACCAAGUGAAUCAUCGAGUCUUUGAACGCAAUUGCGCCCUCUCGGUCGCUUCCAAUUGGGGGUUGACUCAUAGGGGGUACAUCUGUUCGAGGGUCAUAAGAGUCUCAAAGGGGGGGAUACCCUUUGGAAUUGGGCCUUUGCUGGCUUGUCAGCUUGCCUAGAGAGCAUUAGCGAUUGAUCUCAAGUCUCUGGGUCUUUAAAGAUGCAGUCCCAAGUCUUUUUGGUUAUCAACUUGCUUCUUAAUCGAUUGUUAGCCUUANGGUUAGGGUUAAAUAAUGACCUCGAAUCAGAUGAGACUACCCGCCGAACUUAAGCAUAUCAUUAAGCGGANGAAAAGAAACUAACAAGGAUUCCCUCAGUAACGGCGAGUGAAGAGGGAAGAGCUCAGUUUUGAAAUCUGGCAGUCUCUUGACUGUCCGAGUUGUAAAUUGAAGAGANNGUCAUCCAUGCUGGACCACGUCUAAAUUGUAAUGAUCCACAGUCCUUUGAUGGAGUAUCAGAGAGGGUAAUAAUCCCGUCUUUAACGUGGACUACCAGUGUUGAUGUGAUGCACUCUCUCA
This 954-nucleotide ribosomal RNA is filed under the name uncultured fungus. RNAcentral describes it as "eukaryotic LSU rRNA". The stretch from base 671 to 954 matches the Rfam family "Eukaryotic large subunit ribosomal RNA", at positions 1 to 261 of the family's 3401-position model. Lineage: Eukaryota; Fungi. The record is from RNAcentral.